RNAcentral lists this ribosomal RNA (494 nucleotides) under uncultured bacterium. RNAcentral describes it as "bacterial SSU rRNA". It matches the Rfam family "Bacterial small subunit ribosomal RNA", at positions 11 to 534 of the family's 1533-position model. The record is from RNAcentral.
GUUUGAUCAUGGCUCAGAACGAACGCUGGCGGCAUGCCUAACACAUGCAAGUCGAACGGGAUCCGGACUUCGGUUCGGUGAGAGUGGCGGACGGGUGAGUAACGCGUGGGAACCUGCCCAAUGGUCUGGGAUAACCGCGGGAAACUGCGGCUAAUACCGGAUAAGCCCCCUGGCAACGGGGGGAAAGAUUUGUCGCCGAUGGAGGGGCCCGCGUCAGAUUAGGUAGUUGGUGGGGUAAUGGCCUACCAAGCCUACGAUCUGUAGCUGGUCUGAGAGGAUGAUCAGCCACACUGGGACUGAGAUACGGCCCAGACUCCUACGGGAGGCAGCAGUGGGGAAUAUUGGACAAUGGGGGCAACCCUGAUCCAGCAAUGCCGCGUGAGUGAUGAAGGCCUUAGGGUUGUAAAGCUCUUUUGGCGGGGACGAUGAUGACGGUACCCGCAGAAUAAGCCCCGGCUAACUUCGUGCCAGCAGCCGCGGUAAUACGAAGGGGG